Molecule: long non-coding RNA, 608 nt
Organism: Zalophus californianus (California sea lion)
Lineage: Eukaryota; Metazoa; Chordata; Mammalia; Carnivora; Otariidae
Exons: 3
Source: RefSeq, a predicted model, not a curated record
ACCCCGGGGUGGUGUAUGUGACCAACCGAGUGAAGGCCUCUAGGUAAAUAUGUAAGAUUCUGGUGGGCAGGUGCAGAGGUCUACUCCAGUUGCCUGUGCUCAGGACAUGCCCCGGAUGGAACCUCCCUGGCUUAUUAAACCCGCCACCUACCAACCUGGGGUGGCUGCCUCCUUCUUCCGUCUGUCCCUGCCCCCUGUGUAUGGGGGCCAGUUUCAGAUUACACCAGCGAAGCGCCUGGGGUUGCGAAAACAUUUCCACCACCACCCCACAUCCACGUGAAACACGGAGUGCAGACGAAUAAAGAGAACAAAAGGAUUCUGUCAUUCUGUGUCAGUCUUCAAAUACGUGAAGAGCGUUCACCCUCAGGAGCAUGACAGGCGCCAUGUUCACCACCCGAAGAUGUGGCAAAGGGAGAGCACUCACGAGCACGGUUCCUAUGAAUGGAUGGGUUUUCCCAAGCUCCUCUCCUGAUGUUUGCUUCCCCUGAGGAUGAUAAUUUGGUGGCCAUGUCCUUGUUGUUGAGAAAGCUGAGCAUGAGGGAAGGCCAUAGAAGGCAAAUGGGGAGCAGCACCUUUGUUCAGUCUUUCUCAAAUUGUCACUAACAUGC